Molecule: long non-coding RNA, 238 nt
Filed under: Citrus sinensis (sweet orange)
Lineage: Eukaryota; Viridiplantae; Streptophyta; Magnoliopsida; Sapindales; Rutaceae
Description: long non-coding RNA (CSIN_LNC001605)
Source: RNAcentral
ACCGCUUUGUUAUCCUCGCAUAAUGUUACAUUUAAGGAUAAAUAUGAAUUUAAUUUAAUACAUUUAGAUUUUUUUUUCUAUACAAAUUACUUGCAUUUAUAAUCGAUUCUUUUUUUUUUAACUUGUCACUUCUUAUUGUUCUUUUUUUUUUAUCUCUUACUAAUUAAAUAUGUUUGUACUUUCAAAUUUUUAUUCAAAAUAUGUGUAAUUUGUGUUAAUGAUUGACAUUAAAAAAUUU